Molecule: long non-coding RNA, 1478 nt
Organism: Brassica napus (rape)
Lineage: Eukaryota; Viridiplantae; Streptophyta; Magnoliopsida; Brassicales; Brassicaceae
Exons: 2
Source: RefSeq, a predicted model, not a curated record
GUUUUUAGCACAUUCUUCUUUGGAUUUCUACAACUUGUAAUCCUAUAUAUAGGGCCUAAGAGCCACGAAAUAAGAUAAGCUUUUUCCCCCUUUUAUUUGAGUUUAUCUAUUUGUUCUUUGUAGAACACUUCUUUGUUUCUUGGUGAGGUUAUCUCCGAGUAAACAGCCUCUAAUUCGUUGGACCUGUGCGUCAUAUCAGGCAACGUUUAGAAAUCCUUCUUUUGGUGGACUUGUGAGUCAUAUCAAGCACCAACUGAAGUCUGGUAGUAUCAUUGGGCCAUCCGCAACCCAUUGUGUCACCGUUCAAUCCAUCAGUUCUCCCUUUUGGCGAGUUCAUAUCCCUUUAGUCCGGUCGAGUGAUCCUUCCCUAUUUUAGGGCGUAUCACCUUUCUUCCGUAGUCUGCAGUAAUAAAUCGCUCUCUCCGGAACUUGAAACCUAGAUUUCCUGUAUUCUACAAUAAAUUGCAAAGUCUGGGAUUCGAACCCUAGAACUGGGUGUAGAAGUCUUUAAACCUUAACCAUUAUGCUACGGUGUUUCCACCGAUGAGAUAUUCUUGAUUGAUAAUUUGUCUUUUAUUUUAGAGUUUUACACAUUUCUCGGUUGAUUCAUGUUACGCUAAGCCAUCAAUAUAAUAAAAUACUAUACUCCAUUAAUAAUCUGUACAGAAACAUAGGUCUAAAUGAAACCAUAUUCCAUUUUACGCGUUAGCAUCGAGACACAUGCAUGGACCACCUUACCACUUAAUUCCUUUGUACUAAAUGUUUACUAAAGUGGUUGAGCUGUCAAAACUUUAGACUCACUAUGAUUAUUUAUAAAACUCUUUCAACAUAUCAAAGCUUUCGGAUCAUGUCGCCAUUGUCUGCUUACAAUUUAACUUCUAUUUACAGUUCUUUUUCCAAUACAACUUUCUGAAGACCAUAUUGGCAUUUAUCCUGAUGUUUCAGCAUUAUUUGAUUGCGUCGACACAUUUGAAUUCUGUGCAUAUAUAUGUAGUCUGGUGGUUAAAUAAUUACAAGUGUUAGGUUACUGAAUGCAGCCUAUUAAGUUUAUCUAGGGUUAAACUUAAGCGUUAUAGGAGAAAUAAGCCCAAGGCCAUAACACUUGCUUGAGAAGAACAAGCAAUACAUCCAAGAACCUGCCACCGUGGAGAAGUACCAAGAGUUGUCUAAGCAGCUUCUGUACACCCGUCUUGCUAGGUGUCCUCAACUUAUUGCGAGGCGAGGAAACUAUGUUGCAAAUGCAGGCAGCAUGUAUACCUUUAGUACUUACAGGGCGUGAUUUUUGUGUCAGUGCAAUCACUGGAUCAGGUAAGUUAUACUUGUUUUUGUGUAUUAUCAGUCAUGGUCUCUUGUUUUCUUGUGUAAAGAUUUGUCAAGGACUUGUAAAGAAUCAGACUGAUUGAUGAUGCUUUGUGUUUAUAUAAACUAUGUAAACACCAAACUUUUAUUCACAACACAACACUCUUCUUCAUUCAUCA